Molecule: ribosomal RNA, 460 nt
Filed under: uncultured bacterium
Lineage: Bacteria
Description: partial 16S ribosomal RNA
Rfam family: Bacterial small subunit ribosomal RNA
Source: RNAcentral
CCUACGGGAGGCAGCAGUGAGGAAUAUUGGUCAAUGGACGAGAGUCUGAACCAGCCAAGCCGCGUGAAGGAUGAAUGCCCAAUGGCUUGUAAACUUCUUUUAUCUGGGAAUAAAAUGUUCCACGUGUGGGAUGUUGUAUGUACCUUAUGAAUAAGGAUCGGCUAACUCCGUGCCAGCAGCCGCGGUAAUACGGAGGAUCCGAGCGUUAUCCGGAUUUAUUGGGUUUAAAGGGUGCGUAGGGGGAUUGUUAAGUCAGGUGUGAAAGGUCGCGGCUCAACCGUAAACUCGCAGUUGAAACUGGCAGUCUUGAGUACAGUAGAGGUGGGCGGAAUGCGUGGUGUAGCGGUGAAAUGCUUAGAUAUCACGCAGAACUCCGAUUGCGAAGGCAGCUCACUGGCCUGCAACUGACGCUGAGGCACGAAAGUAUGGGUAUCAAACAGGAUUAGAUACCCGGGUAGUC